This 253-nucleotide ribosomal RNA is filed under the name uncultured bacterium. RNAcentral's name for it is "partial 16S ribosomal RNA". It matches the Rfam family "Bacterial small subunit ribosomal RNA", at positions 524 to 776 of the family's 1533-position model. The record is from RNAcentral.
UACGUAGGGUCCGAGCGUUGUCCGGAAUUAUUGGGCGUAAAGGGCUCGUAGGCGGUCUGUCACGUCGGGAGUGAAAACUCAGGGCUCAACCCUGAGCGUGCUUCCGAUACGGGCAGACUAGAGGUAUGCAGGGGAGAACGGAAUUCCUGGUGUAGCGGUGGAAUGCGCAGAUAUCAGGAAGAACACCCGUGGCUAAGGCGGUUCUCUAGUACGGUACUGACGCUGAGACGCGAAAGCGUGGGGAGCGAACAGG